This 505-nucleotide ribosomal RNA is filed under the name uncultured bacterium. Its description in RNAcentral is "partial 16S ribosomal RNA". It matches the Rfam family "Bacterial small subunit ribosomal RNA", at positions 28 to 507 of the family's 1533-position model. The record is from RNAcentral.
GACGAACGCUGGCGGCGUGCCUAAUACAUGCAAGUAGAACGCACAGUUUAUACCGUAGCUUGCUACACCAUAGACUGUGAGUUGCGAACGGGUGAGUAACGCGUAGGUAACCUGCCUGGUAGCGGGGGAUAACUAUUGGAAACGAUAGCUAAUACCGCAUAAUAUUAAUUAUUGCAUGAUAAUUAAUUGAAAGGUGCAAUUGCACCACUACCAGAUGGACCUGCGUUGUAUUAGCUAGUAGGUGAGGUAACGGCUCACCUAGGCGACGAUACAUAGCCGACCUGCGAGGAUGAUCGGCCACACUGGGACUGAGACACGCCCCAGACUCCUACGGGAGGCAGCAGUAGGGAAUCUGCGGCAAUGGACGAAAGUCUGACCGAGCAACGCCGCGUGAGGGAAGAAGGUUUUCGGAUCGUAAAGCUCUGUUGUAAGAGAAGAACGGGUGUGAGAGUGGAAAGUUCACACUGUGACGGUAUCUUACCAGAAAGGGACGGCUAACUACGUG